AUGGAUCCCGGUGCUGUUCGUGAGGUCUUGAAAUCCGCAGAAGAAUAUCACUGGCAAAUGGAGCGACGUGACAGGGAAGGGGUGCUGCAAGGGCUGCAUUACGCUGAAAGUGAUGGAUGUAGCACCUCUGGCACCGAGGAUGUGCUGCUAUUCGACCAGUUGAUGGGUGUAGUAGAAGAGCUCUCUGGGCGUGUAGCGACUAUGGAGAAGAAACAGGCUUCCUCCAUCGACAAAGUCAAAUACCUACGUGGAGAAAAUGGCAGGUUGCUGAAAAAAGUUGUUGAGCUGAAUGGCACUGUGAAGGGCUUGAAUUCUCAAAUAGACCCUUUACCCCGAGAUGAUUCAGUAAACCAGUUGAUUAAACAGUGUUUGGGUUCAGACGUCAUUUAUCUUGUUGGUGGUCUAGAUGACAUGUUUUGUCCAUCGUCACUAGGUUUCUCAUGCUUUUCGCCCUCCCUGGACGUACUAAUACCUAUGAAACCAAUGCCUGAUGAAAGGCUUUUUAAUUCUACUGUUGCCUUAGACAACAGAAUAUUUGUUCUGGGCGGUGCUGAUCAUCCGUAUGGAAGCAGCAUUGAUGCAGGUGCUGAUCAUUUUUAUGUUUACCUUCCCAAAAUCUCUCUGGUUGCCAUUUCUGCCCUAAUAUGUGCUUUUAAUCUUUAUCAUGAAGUUUGCUGUUAUGACACAACCUCUGAUGAUUGGACCCUAUGCCUACCAAUGAUCCGUGCAAAGGCAAACCUUGCCGGAGUUAGCUUGUGUGGGAAAAUCUAUGCAUUUGGUGGUGGAGAUGGUUCAAAAUCUUUUCAUGAUGUUGAGGUCUUCGAUCCUGCAUAUGGGAAGUGGAUAAAGAAUCAGCCUAUGCUGAGAAAGCGCUCUGCUCUAGCUGGUGUGGAACUCAAUGGUGCGAUUUAUGCGGUUGGUGGAUAUGAUGGUAUUGAAACUUGGAGCUGCGCUGAGAGACUUGAUCCUAGGGAACCUCACUGGAAAAUGCUCCCAAGCAUGAAUACACAAAGAUGCUUCCAUACGCUGGCAGUUCUUGAUGAGAAGAUAUACUCGAUUGGUGGUUACAAUCCUGAGGCUAGAGCAGGGGUGGCCACUGUUGAGCUGUACGACCCAAGGAUGCCAUCAUGGGUGGCAGUCAAACCAAUGAAGUAUUCCAAGAUCUUGGACGUGGUAGAGUGCUACAGCGAAGGGUGUGGUUGGGUGAAUACAGCGCUCAAGUCAAUCGGCAGGAGAAGCCAUUGUUCUGCCAUUGUCUACUGA
Molecule: ribosomal RNA, 1263 nt
Filed under: Triticum aestivum (bread wheat)
Lineage: Eukaryota; Viridiplantae; Streptophyta; Magnoliopsida; Poales; Poaceae
Description: partial small subunit ribosomal RNA
Source: RNAcentral